GCCCGCUCGGAUCGAGACUGACCGGCCAGCGUCCCGGAGAGGCAGACCCCGCCCGGGAGAGGCAGAGUCCUUAGGGUUCUUUUUGGGGGGAUCGUCUAGCCCCUGUAGGUUUCCCAGGAACACCAGAACUGUGUUUAAAACUACAGUUGCACUUUUUCUUUUCUUGAGACAGGGUCUCCCUAUGUGGCGCAGGCUGGCCUUAAACUCGUGGCCAUCCUCCUGCCUCAGCCUCCCAAGGACUGGCCACCCGCCCGGGCAGCAGUUGCAGUUUUGACCAGGCCACUUUCAUCUGGCUGGUAGAAGUCUUCUACCUUCGGUGACCCUGGCCCCUACCUUGGAUGGGCAGCGAUGCAAGAGCGGUCGGAGGAGCUGUGGCACCAGGUCCUGGCAGCCCCAGUGCUGACCGGAUGACUGCCUACCUGCCCAGGUCCUGGUGUUUCGAGUCCAGCCCUGGAUCUACUCCCCGACCUUCCCCGCGGAAGGUUUCGCCGCAAAGAUUUCUCCUUCAGCCGUUGUCACUGGGGUGUCAUCCACGACGACAGCCACCGACGCGGCCACUCAGGGACCACAUCCCGGAAGGCCGGGCCCUCAUCCACCGGCUCACCCCAUCCUGUCUCGGUUCCACCCUGGCACCAGGGCCUGAGUCGGGGCGCAGCGUGGGGAGAACCCCAAGGCCUGGGGACCCGAGUGGGCCCGGCUCGGAAGCCAUCCCGAGAGCUGGGGUUCAGCGCCGGCCAAGACUGAGGGUGCGAGCCGGGCCAGGGGACCGGAGGACAGGAGGACCGGCGACAUCCCCAUCCAGCGGAGCUCGGGGCUCCGGGCCUCCGCCACCUCUGGACACCACCACCAGCCGCUCCUCAGGCGCAGGUUCUGGGUUCUGCUCGCUGCCUCAGCGUCC
RNAcentral lists this long non-coding RNA (898 nucleotides) under Fukomys damarensis (Damara mole-rat). RNAcentral's name for it is "lncRNA (ENSFDAG00000029867.1)". Lineage: Eukaryota; Metazoa; Chordata; Mammalia; Rodentia; Bathyergidae. The record is from RNAcentral.